ACAGAGUGUGCACUAUCAUCGUAACAGCAGAGACGGAGAGCAAGAUGUGAGGAGGUUAAAAGUCAGGGUCAGAAGUUCAGGUUGCUCUGACCCUCAAAUCAAUUUCAAGCACUGUUUGUGACAUUUUCCUGUGUUCCCUCGCUUGAUGUUAGUCUUUGCAAUGAACCACCGAAUCAGACUUCAGGGCUCAUGGGACUUUGGGGUUUCAGUAGGGUCAGGUCAAUUUCUACCUACCAGUGUACUGUCACCUAUGAGGCAAACCAUUAUCUAGGCGUUUGAGAACCUCAAAGUUUUGAAGCUCUGAGGGGAAAGAGAGAGGAUGAAGCGCUGGGGCCCCUGUGUCUUUGGGGCCUGACAUAGCUCAACCUGUGGCUUCAGGGGGACCGUGUGCAGCCAGGUCACAGUGGUACCGGAAAGGGAUCCUGAUCCAGACCCCAAGAGAGGGUUCUUGGAUCUCGUGCAAGAAAAAAUUCAGGGUGAGUCUAUAGAAUAAAGUGAAAGCAAGUUUAUUAGAAAAGUAAAGAAACAAAAGAAUGGCUAUUCCGUAGGCAGAGCAGCCCCGAGGGCUGCCGGCUGCCUAUUUUUAUGGUUAUUUCUUGAUUAUAUGCUAAACAAGGGGUGGAUCAUUCAUGAGUUUUCUGAGAAACGGGUGGGGAUUUCCUUGAAACUGAGGGGUCCUCCAGCUUUUAGACCGUAUAGGGUAACUUCCUGAUGUUGCCAUGGCAUUUGUAAACUGUCAUGGUGCUGGUGGGGGUGUCUUUUAGCAGCUAAUACAUUAUAAUUAGCAUAUAAUAAGCAACGAGGACUACCAGAGGUCACUUUCAUCGCUACCUUGUUUUUGGUGGAUUUUGACGGACUUCUUUAUUGCAACCUGUUUUACAGCAAGGUCUUUGUGACCUGUAUCUUGUGCUGACCUUCUGUCUCUUCCUGUGACUUAGAAUGCCUGACCUCCUCGGAAUGCACCUGAGUAGGACUCAGCCUCAUUUUGCCUAGCCCCUGCUCAAGAUAGAGUCACUCUGGUUGGAAGGCCUUUGGCAAUAGGAUUGGCAACUCAGAGAAAGCUGGUCCCUGGCAUGGGCAUCUCUCCCAAGGCAUUCUUCCAAAGCUGAUGGCACUAAGGCUGAACCCAGAAGCUGCAGCAGUGGACGGAUGAUGAUCUGAAGAAAUGAGAUCCCUGAUGGGCUUGGAAGUCAUGGUUCCUGUAACCAUGAUGUCACACCCUCGUCCUGACACCGAGAUGGGCUGGACACAUCUGUCACCCAGGGCAAACAAAAUGCUUGGUCUGCAUCUUUCAGAAGAAAACUAAAAAUCAAGUAAUUUCUUAGAAGUUUGCUUGCGUGUGGCUUAAGUCUUCUUCUCCUGUUGAGGAAGGUGUUGAGUUUGACCAUGACAGCCCCACCCAGUCCUUGGCUCAUCUCACCCAUCAAAGAGGAUCUGGAGAUUCAGAGCUAUGCCGUGGAAGACCUUGUCAGAGCACCAGGCCAUACUGUGCUGCAGGUGGGGUUCAGGUGCCCAGUGACAACCACCGGGGCCGCUCAUCCCUAAACGUCUGUUGAACUUAAAGUUCUACUCAAGACUUUCUACAUUAAAUACCCUUUCAUACAGCAAAAUCAGCCAUGUUCUGAGAUGUGAAACUGCAGCACAAAGUUACUGUGGUCUCCACCUAUAGAAAUGGAAUGUUACUUCAUAAAGCCCCAGGCCAAAAAAGAAACCCCAAAACUCUGAAACGACACCCUUAAAUUUAACCUGAACAUCUGGCCAGCCUCCUCCAUCAUUGAAACUUCUCCUGAGUGUUGGCAUGGAUCCUAUGUUUCUCCAGCCAGGGAGCUUUGCUCCCCAUUCUUGAUGGACCCACUGAGUCCCAAUUUUCUACAUUUUACUUGGGUCAUUCCACCACUUUGGGAUGCUUUUCCUACUCUGUUGUACUUUAAAAAUGUUUCUUCUUUCCUAUUCUCAGCUUCACGCAUUUGUCUUCUUUCUCAAUUCAACUUGCUUAGUUCUCGCUACAUCAAUUCCUAGAGCCAUCCAUCUGCACUUCUGAAUCAUUUAAGUUUUGUUUGGCUACAAGUAAUGGAAACCCACUCUGAGUAACUCAAGCAAGAACUGGAAUUUAUUGGAAGGACAGUGGGAUAUAUCAUAAGAUCCAAAAAGAAUUGAACAAAUAAAAUUUCAGAGGGAAGAAAAAGGGCAGCUCCAGUGACUUCAGCAACAAGACAACAUAAGUCUUUCUAGAGCAUAGCUACUAAUAUUAUUCAGCUGCAAGAGCCCCUCCCCAUGAGAAACUUGAUUGAAAAUUCUGAUUUCCCACAGAGAAGAAUCUGAUCGACUCAGUUUAGCUUUGGUUGCCCAACUGCUCAAUCUUGCAUGAAUUAUUUCCAGCCAAGGGGACAAGGUGUAUUAUAGGGACACACCUGCUUUCUCCAAAGAAAAGAUCUGGGCAUUUCCUGAUCAUUUCCCUGAGAAGGAGGAAUCAUUGUGAGCCAAGAAGAUACCUCAAGUAUAAUGAGCUCAGUUACACUUUUUUGAUAUCUGAGUAUUUGGUAUGUAGUGUGCAUUUUAAAAAACAUGUCUCUCUCCAGGACAAUGUUAACCUCUUCCACGGUGGAGUGGGGCUAUGUGAUUUUGUGCUUAAUUUACCUAGCUGGUGGGCCUCCAGUAGAGGCUGUAGUCGAGCCAGCUGAUACCACAUCAGUUCUCCAAAGGAACAAAAGCUGCCCUUCCUUCCUUAUUGCAAAGUUUGACAAAAAGCAAAACGUGAAGAAUAAAAGCGACUUGCAUUGUCUAACAUCUACCGCAGUGUUUGAGCUGCAGCUGCUCCUCCUCCCCUGAUUGUUUUCAAAUAUUUCUUCAAAAAAGGCAUUAAAGAAAAACACAAGAUAUUGCACAGGGAACCAAAACAAAUCACAAUCUUCAAGGACAAAGCAUUGCAAAAUGGCUUACAUCCCCAAAUGGGAACAGAUAUGGUUGGAAAUUAAAACAAUCUUUUUUAUUUUAAGCGGAAAUGCUAGCAGAUGCCACAAGAAACAUAUGGAACUCGCCACAGACAAAUAGGGAAUGCUUUCUGCGUGUGGAAGUAGAGCAAAGGGAGUGACCACCUCUGACUGUCAGGGGGAACCAUCAGCUCGAACUGUUUGCUAUGGCAGGAGGGAGUUUGCAGAGUCCGGAGUCCUGCCCUCAUGAAAAAGCUUUAACGGUCUUGACUGAGUAAUUUAAGUCAUUCUUGUCAGGGAGUUUCAGAACACUAUGCACAAUUAUAUUUAUUUCACAAUGCAUUGAUUCCAGAUAUCUUUUUAAAUGUGCUUACCUCUGUGUGCGUUGUUACCUGUUCCCUCUUUGAAUCUCUGAAUGAAACAAAAUAAAUAGGAAAAAAUGGAGACAUAGAAGCAUUGUCCACAAGGCAUCUCCCACUCUAGAGGUCUCCCAGCCCCGUGCUAGCUUGUUAAUUUAUUAUCGCUUGUCUGUCAAACAAGGAAGAUAUAAUUUGCCACACAACAUGUUUUCCUAAAGCAAUGUUUUUGUACAAUUUCCUGAUUUCCAAAAAUAUGACCAAUGAUAUUCUGGUUGAGUUUUGUUGUUGUUGUUGUUGUUGUUUUAAUUUCUCUGAAAAUGGCAGCGAUAUAGCAAUCAUUCCCUUCCCCAUGUACCACGUGGAAUAAUUUUACUGUGAGACUCAGAGAAGGCAAUCACAAGCCAUCGUUCCUUAAGUAGUAUUUAUCCUUCCCAAAUAGUUCACUGGGGGGCGAGACAGGAAUAAAAUGCUUUCUAUAUACAAAAGUAUUGUUUCUAAAGAUGAAAAAAGCCUGAAAUCCUGACUGACAUUCAAGUUGGAGGUGCUGUGAAUAUGUGGAAAAAUAGGA
Molecule: long non-coding RNA, 3857 nt
Filed under: Homo sapiens (human)
Lineage: Eukaryota; Metazoa; Chordata; Mammalia; Primates; Hominidae
Description: HSALNT0357285
Source: RNAcentral